Molecule: ribosomal RNA, 484 nt
Filed under: uncultured bacterium
Lineage: Bacteria
Description: partial 16S ribosomal RNA
Rfam family: Bacterial small subunit ribosomal RNA
Source: RNAcentral
AUUGAACGCUGGCGGCAGGCCUAACACAUGCAAGUCGAGCGGAUGAAGGGAGCUUGCUCCUGGAUUCAGCGGCGGACGGGUGAGUAAUGCCUAGGAAUCUGCCUGGUAGUGGGGGAUAACGUCCGGAAACGGGCGCUAAUACCGCAUACGUCCUGAGGGAGAAAGUGGGGGAUCUUCGGACCUCACGCUAUCAGAUGAGCCUAGGUCGGAUUAGCUAGUUGGUGGGGUAAAGGCCUACCAAGGCGACGAUCCGUAACUGGUCUGAGAGGACGAUCAGUCACACUGGAACUGAGACACGGUCCAGACUCCUACGGGAGGCAGCAGUGGGGAAUAUUGGACAAUGGGCGAAAGCCUGAUCCAGCCAUGCCGCGUAUGUGAAGAAGGUCUUCGGAUUGUAAAGCACUUUAAGUUGGGAGGAAGGGCAGUAAGUUAAUACCUUGCUGUUUUGACGUUACCAACAGAAUAAGCACCGGCUAACUUCGUG